This 83-nucleotide transfer RNA is filed under the name Bacteroidota bacterium. RNAcentral's name for it is "Bacteroidetes bacterium (marine metagenome) tRNA-Tyr". It matches the Rfam family "tRNA". From Rfam's summary of the family: Transfer RNA (tRNA) molecules are approximately 80 nucleotides in length. The record is from RNAcentral. RNAcentral also lists the same sequence under 1 other name. Lineage: Bacteria; Pseudomonadati; Bacteroidota.
GGGUAGGUAGCGAAGUGGUUAAACGCAUCAGACUGUAAAUCUGACGACUAAGGUCUUCGGAGGUUCGAAUCCUUCCCUACCCA